CCACAGACCAGUGUGUGCGCUAUGGC
This 26-nucleotide non-coding RNA is filed under the name Homo sapiens (human). Lineage: Eukaryota; Metazoa; Chordata; Mammalia; Primates; Hominidae. The record is from RNAcentral.